This 245-nucleotide long non-coding RNA is filed under the name Mytilus galloprovincialis (Mediterranean mussel). The record is from RNAcentral. Lineage: Eukaryota; Metazoa; Mollusca; Bivalvia; Mytilida; Mytilidae.
UUUUUUUUGCAGUGUCGAAAAGGGAGAUAGACGGCAGUUUUAUCAAGAAGUUAUGUACGUUCUGCUAUACAUUUGACAGUCAGUAAUUAUUCUGAAGUACACAUGUCGACCAGAGGCAUGGAACAGAGAGGAGAGGUUUUAAAGUACCAGAUGCUUAUCUGAGAUUCCAAUUUGAACUAAAGAAAGCAAUAUAUAAAGAUAUGUAGGAGAAAUAAUCUAUAUGAAUAAAGUUAUGUCACAAAAGG